GAUGAACGCUGGCGGCGUGCUUAACACAUGCAAGUCGAACGGAAAGGCUCCUGCUUUCAGGGGUACUCGAGUGGCGAACGGGUGAGUAACACGUGGGUGAUCUGCCCUGCACUUCGGGAUAAGCCUGGGAAACUGGGUCUAAUACCGGAUAGGACGAUGGGUUGGAUGCCAUUGUGGAAAGUUUUUCGGUGGGGGAUGAGCUCGCGGCCUAUCAGCUUGUUGGUGGGGUAAUGGCCUACCAAGGCGUCGACGGGUAGCCGGCCUGAGAGGGUGUACGGCCACAUUGGGACUGAGAUACGGCCCAGACUCCUACGGGAGGCAGCAGUGGGGAAUAUUGCACAAUGGGCGCAAGCCUGAUGCAGCGACGCCGCGUGGGGGAUGACGGCCUUCGGGUUGUAAACUCCUUUCGCUAGGGACGAAGCGCAAGUGACGGUACCUGGAGAAGAAGCACCGGCUAACUACGUG
RNAcentral lists this ribosomal RNA (465 nucleotides) under uncultured bacterium. Its description in RNAcentral is "partial 16S ribosomal RNA". It matches the Rfam family "Bacterial small subunit ribosomal RNA", at positions 28 to 507 of the family's 1533-position model. The record is from RNAcentral.